UUCUUGCCUUCAAGACUUGAUUGUUGGUGAAACAUUGAUAAGUGGAGAAGAUGUUGGUGGAUUGAAGAAACUGGAAAUUCUUAAAGGGAGGUUUUACGAGUUGCACAACUUAAAUGCGUAUGUCCAAGCUUUACAUGGUCGAGAAGAACCUUUUGAAUACAUCAUCCGCGUGGGUGAGAGAGGAUGGGUGGAGCAAAUUAAUACAAGAAAGUACAUUGAGUUAUGUGGUUGUAAUAUCUAUACCAAUCAGAUUAUACUUCCGCAUGUUGAGGAGUUAUACAUUAAGGAGUGCAAUCUCAAUUGUAGCGAAGGGUAUCCUCUUUUCUCCAGGUUUAUUCUAAUCUCACUUAGCACAUUCUCCUCUCUUAAAUUUCUUGAUAUAUAUAAUUGUAAAAGCAUGAAAAAAUUGUUCUCUCCAAAUUGCUUGCCACUAAAUUUACAAGAGCUUAGCGUAUCAGAGUGUAACAAGCUAGAGGAAAUAAUAGCAAUAGAACUUGGAUGGAAUCAAAGUGGAAAGGCUACCAUGGAGUUUCAUCUACCACAAUUAAGGUUAUUUUCACUAGGGAAUCUACCAAAAUUGAAGAGCAUUUGCAGUGCUAAUGGAGUAAUCGUUUGUGAUUCACUUGAAAUAAUUGAGGUAAGAAAUUGUCCGAAAUUAAAAAGGAUGCCUCUUAAUCUUUCCCAACUUGAUAAUAUUAGACUUCAACCAUCUGGCCCUCUCUCUCCUCUUAUUUGGAUAAAGCUAGAAGAGUGGUGGGAAUCAGUGGAAUGGGAUCAGCCGAAUGUCAAAUGUAUUUUAGAGCCCUUGUUGAGGUCUUGCUGGUAGUGUUGAAUUUACAUUAACUCCAAUGAUUUUUUUUUCAACAACUUCUAAUUGCUAUUUGUAUUCUAAAUUUUGUACAAGUGGAAUAGAAAUUCCUCACUCUGGAAUUGUGGAAAAACCAACUGAAACUUUUACCUGUUCAAAGUCGAAACAUGGUUAUAAUAUCUUUCAUGAAAACUAUUACGUGAAUUCAUGUUUCAAGUGGUGGAGCUUUAUAUAAAUUUAUGUUAUGGCAAAAAUAAGAAGAUAGGAGUGAGCCGUCCAAGAAUAUUCAAGAAAAUAACUCGAAAAACACCAUUGGAGCGACUUUAAAGCAUAUUUCCAUCAAGAUUGAAGAUUCCCAAUUGAUUUCUUAGGAAGUUAUGAUGGGUUUCUUUAGUUCUUUUGUUAUACUGUAUCUUGGAUGUUUUUACUUUUAAUUAUGAUCUAAUUUCUAAAUACUUAGGGGAGAUGAACCCUAUGAAGGAUUCUGUCGUUUGAUUUUUAUUUUAUGCAAUAAAUACUUAGUUUCUUGUUCUCAAUUAUGUGCGCAUAAUUCUUGGUUUAAUAUUUUUUAGAUUAUUAAUCCAUGUUUGAUGUGCUUAAAUCGGAGGUUGAAUAGACCUUGUUUAAGAAUAGAUCUCGUGUAAUUGAGUGGAGUUGCAUGCAAUUAUAGAAAUAGGACGACAAAAAUAUAACAGAUUAGAGUCAAAUCUAAUAGGGGAAUUCAUAUAGCACGAGUUAAUACGAUAAUAGGGGUUUUAAUUAGAAAUUUUUUUCAAUUAAUCAACCUAGAGUCAGUUACUUUUUCACUAUUAGCAUAAUUCAAGGGUUUUCAUGUAUGAAGGAGUUAAGUAAACAAAUUGCAAAAUUUAGAUUGAUAAUGAUAGAUGAAAUCAUUGCGAAUUCUUUUCUAGGUAUUAUUUUGCUUUUUGGUUGUUAAUCGAUUAUUUUCCUAAUUUAUUCUUUGUCGUGUUAGUUAGUUAAUUAAUUUAGUUAAUUUUAGUUUCAAUCACUCAAAUUAUUCGGUUAAAUAAUAAAAAGAUGGUAAUUACUGGUAUUUUUAGUCUUUAUGGGAACGAUAUCUUUGCUCACUGUAGCUAUACUAUUAGUUGAUAGGUGCAUUUUCUUUAAUCAAAUUUUUAGUUAGUUCCGUGACACAUCAUCUAGUUACGACCGAUUGAAUGAUCAAAGAAUAAAAAAUUGUUUCUAUAGUUACACAUCGUAUCGUGAAGAUUCAGGGAUCCUAAAGGAAUAAUUGAUAAGGAAUUGGAUUGGAAAAUGACUAAUAGAGGAUAUAGGUAGCAUGGAAGCACACUUUGACAAAGGCCAAGCUAUCCUCAGAACACUAGUAGAUAGUUGCUUGUUAGAAAAUGUAGGAAAUGAAAGAGUGAAAAUGCAUUAUCUUGUUAGAGAUAUGGCUAAACUUAUCACCCAUAAGUUGUAUGAAUCACGAACUAGCAUUGCAACUUUUACACAUGUAUUGUUACACUCCAACAUUUAUAUUUUUGAUCAAUUAAAAUCAUUCAAUAAAAAACAACCAAUCAAAACUUACAAUAAUUCAAAUUUAAUAAAAAUAAAACCCAAAAUUAACUUUGUUGAUACAGAAAUACAACAAAAUAAUUCAAAUUUAAUAAAAAUAAAACCCAAAAUUAACUUUGUUGAUACAGAAAUACAACAAAGAGAAGAUAUGGGAAAUGACAUGGUGGUGAUUUUGGAGGUUGAUUCACCCAGUUGAGAGCGGAGAGCUAGGGACUACAGAGAGUGAGAUUGAAGAGAGUAUGUAGGCAAAGUGUUGAGGGUAAGUUGACAGAGUAUAUGUUUGUAUGUUUGGAGAGUCAAUCAUUUCUUCAUCGUUCUUGAGGGUAUUUAUUGGAGGGGGUCUUGUGAAGGUAUUGUUAACGUGCUAAAUUUGCCAUCUAACCAUCAUUACGGAACGUGUGGGGAGGAUGCCUCUGAUGAGACAGAUCUUGUUAUUCAUUAUAAUACGACAGUGCAGAGUAGUUGAGCUCACGGGAUUUGGAAACCAACAAUAUCAAGUUUUUACCAAAAGGUGAAGAGUUCAAAGUAAUGAGUAGUUUUAAAACAAAAAAGCCUAUGAAAUAUUGAAACCUACGCAACAACCCUUUGAAAUAUAAUAAAAAGCCAAAACAAAAACAGAUUAAAAUGGUAAAAGGCUAAUCCAUCGCAACUUCUUUCUCUCUACCUGCUUUUAAAAUUCUUAAACACAGUUACGAAAACUGUCUUUAAUUAUAUAUGGUCGGUGCCCACCGAAGUUGACUUAAAGGAGUUGAUAUAUAGGAUUGAUAAAUCAGUUUUUAUAAUAUUACCAUUCAUUUUAUUAUUAACAAUUAAGAAGAUACUUUUAAUAAUUAUUGUUUAUAUAUUUUUAUAUUAGACAUAUUGAUAAUUUAUUUUUUAUUUUACAAACAACCUUAAAAAAUUAAUAUAUUUUUAUUUUUUAAAUAUUUUAACAACAGUGUAACCAAUAAUUUCAUUACAUUUAAAUAAAAAUAUCUUUUCCCCAUCAUUGAAAGCUUCAAUCAAGGCUUCGGCUUAGUUUGGAUGGGCGGUGUGUUUACCUUCGGUGAGGUUAAAAAUAGCAGUGGCGGUGAGAUUAGUUACUGUAGCGGUGACAAUGGAUACUGUAGCAGUGAGAUUAGAAACAAUGGUGGAGUGUGUGUUUGGAUUCAAACACAGCUGUAGCGGUGAGGUGAGAAUAAAAAAUAGCUAUUAAGGACAUCAGAUUAGAAUUGAUAUAUAAUAGAAGUUUUUAAAUUAUUUUACUUUUAUAAAAUUAUUAAAAUAUAUGAAUUUAUAAAUUAAUUUAAUAAAAUAUUAAAAUGUAUCUUUCAAUAUUUUAUUAUAAAUAUUUUAAUAAAUUAUAUAAUCAAUUUAAAUUAUUUAAUAGAUAAAAUGAUAAUUAUUUUUAAUUUUUAUAGCUAAAUAUUCUUUUAUAACAAUAAUAAAUAUUAUUUUCACAAAUAGUGACAUUAUACUUGGAUCAAAUUUUGAAGUAUCUAAACGGAUGAUUUUUAAUAAAAAAAAAUAUAGUAACAUAAGACAUAACAAGUUUCAUUAUUACUAGAAAUUAGAUUAUGAUACAAAAUGUUUUUAUAAAUAUGGAUUCAUUAAACUAUAAUAUAAAUGCACUCCAAACUUAAUAGUCAUAGUUGUUCUUUUGAAUGAAAUUGAUGAACACUUUAACAGCAGGAGAGGUCUCGAUGAAACCCUUGAAAAAACCAUUAAAUUAAUUUUUUUUACCAUGGUACUUAAACUUUUCUUUUAACCUAAGUUGAUACAUAAAAUUAUAUUUCUCUUAACCAAUUCAGUCCACCAAAAUUAGAGUAUACCAUGUGACACUUAGAAAACUUCACGUGACAUUCAUAAGUACUAAAAGAAAAAAAAUAGAUUUAUAAAUUCUAAAAAUAAAUUAAAAAUUUUAAAUUUAAAAAUAAUUUAUCAAAUAAAAAUCUAAUUAAAAAUUUUAGUAAGCUAUCAUUUUAUUUUGACUCAACAUUGAUUAUCGCUGUCCUAAUAGUAUUUUCAAGUUUUAUAUUAUUUUUAGUUUUCAAAAUUUAACUAUUUUUUUAAUUCUAAAAUUUUGAUUAUAUUUUUUUGGUUUUUUUUAAACAAAUAUUUAAACUAUAUAUAUAAGCUCUAGAAAGUUGAAAUAAUUUAAAAAAUAUUUGUUUCAAAAAGCCAAAAAACAGUAUAAUAAUUUUUUAAAAAAAUUGGAAAAAUAGUUAAAUUAUGAUAACUAAAAAGAAUAUAAAAGUUUUUAGAAAAUUUUUAAAAAUUUAAAAAUAUUUUUCACACAAUAUAUAUAAAUUUUAAAAUAAUUUUCUAAUAUAAAACUUGAAAAUACUAUUAAGUCAAAAUCGAUCAAUCCCGGUCAAUUUCAUUUCAAAGUCAAAUGCUAAUUUUCUAAAAUUUCUAUUUUGUAAAUUAUUUUUAUAAUUUUUAUUUAUUAUUAAACUUUUUUAGAAUUUAGAAAUUUAGUUUUAUUUUUAAUACAUAUAGAUGUCAUGUAACACUUUCUAAUUGGAUUAAAGUGCCAUGUGACACAAUUUAAUUUGGCCACAUUUCAAUAAUUUUUUUAACAGUGGUGGACUGAAUUAGUUAACAAAAUGUAACUUAAGGAAUCAAUUUGGGCCAAAAAAAAAUUCAGGUACUAAUAUGAGAAAAAUGAUAUACUUUAGGAGACAAAUGAUGCUUUAAGCCAGAAAAUUAAAAGAAAAGAAACCCUCCAAAAUUAAAAUAACAUGAACCUUUGUAUUAGGGGUUAGAUUACAUUUUGUCCUCUCAACUCAAAAAUAGACAAAUUAGUUGCUAUAUGUUAGAUUAGUGAAUAAAUUGGACAUUUUGUUAAAUUUUACAUCAAUUUCUAUUGAUAAAAACUAGUUCUUGUACAUCAUUAUGAGAUACAUAUAACACACCACAUGUAAUUGUUUAGUUAUUACAUUAACCCUGUCAAUUUUUAACAUAUAUAUCACAGUAUAGUACCCGAACUUGACAACUUGUAUCUACUUGACACCUUUUUUUUUUAACCUAAUUAGUUCAUGAACUUGAAAACUGCAAAUUAACUUAUUUUUUUAGAUACUUGACAAUAUUGCCAAAUUUAUCAUCUUCAAUCAAUUAGAUUAUGCCAAGUAUAUUAUGUCACGUGUACCAAAAAUAAUUUAAUUUAAAAAAUUUUUAAUUGUCAUUAAUUAAAAUAAAAAAAACUUCUACUUAAUUAACUGAUAUUUUAUGUCUACUUCCGUUUCUUCUUCUUCUUCUCUAAGUUUCAACCAAAUCUCUAAGUCCGCCCUCGUUCUCUGCGCCAACAUUGCUGGCUCUCAGUUUAGGUAGUUUGAAUCAAGGGACUCUCUUCUCCCCUUUUAUUUUUUUUCUUUUUAUUGAUUAUUGGCUAUAGGUUUAUUGAGUCUUUGGUUGAGUGGUGGGCGACGAGUUUGAGGCUUGUUUUAGGAGGGGUCAGGUGAGUCAGGGUCGACAAUUGUGCAUGUCACAACUGUAUUUUAUUCGGAUUACGCUCAAUUCGAAUUACGUGUUUUUUUUAAAUUUCUUAGUUAUUAAUUAUUAUUUAUGGGGGACGGUUUUACAAAGGGAAGUUGAGUAAGAGAAGAAGGGGGAUUCUCUCUAAAAGAGAAGUCUAAAGACAAUAGCUCCAUUUCUUUCACCUCCAUUGAGUCUCAUACUCUAAAACACUAAUUACUUACAUCCUAUACCAUCAAAACCCCACACAUUUCCUCAACCUUGACCGUUAACCCAUCCCUGGGUUUGAAGCAGUGAAAGCAUUCAACUUUGGUUACUGGACAGUGAUGAUUCCAAUCCAAGGAAGACCGGUUUCCAUCAUAUUUGUGACCAAACAAAGAGUCUGCAACUUUAUUAAGGAGAAGAAAACGAAAAAUUGAAGAGGCCCUCCUUGACUCGUGAUAUUCAAAUCUCAAAGUACCAUUAGUCCCAUUGGCAUUAUUUUCAUCCUUUACUUUCACCAUCAUCUUAUUAUCAUCAUCAUUUUAUAUGUUGUUGAAUGUCAUUCUGAUGUUGAAAUUAUGGAAAAUUUACGUGUGUCAUGUGGUAUAUAUAUUUCGACUAUUUUGGUCCAAACAUUUUUUUAAAUAUUUAUAUUAUUUCAAUAGUUAAAGUUGAAAAUUUUUAAAUGAUUUAAAAGUUAUAGCACUCAAGAGUUUUUACUAUUUAUAAUGAUGAGUUAUAUUUUUUAUUGUUAAAAGUUAUAUUUAUAUAAAUAUGAAUAAUUAUAUUUAAAGACACGAAAACUCUUAUGAUUCAUUUGUUUAAUAGACUAAAGUAAGAAACAAAAAUUCCUUUUGAUUCUCUUCCAUCUUUUACUAUUUUUAAAUUGUUGUAUAAAAAUUUAUUGUAAAAAUUUGUUAUAGAAAUCAUGCAUAAAAUAAUAAAAUCAUACACGCACUAACACUUAUCAAAUUAACUUGUAUCAUUAUCACUGACGUUUAGCACAAACCUGCUUAAAAUCAUGCUUUUUCUUCCUCAAGUGUAUUUGUAAAAUAUUUUUAUAAAAUAAUAAGAUAUCCUUUGACACGAUAUUAAUAUUGGAAGUCAUUGUUGGGAUUCCGCAAAAACUUUCAAUAAUUAUUCAUUGUGAAAGAAAAUAAAAUUUUUAAAAUCUAUUUAAGAAUGAUUGUCGAAUUCAAUUUGAUCUACUAUAGUUAACUCAUAAAAAUAACUCAAAUUUAAUAGAAAAAAUUCCCAAAAUAAACUUAAUUUCUUGAAAUGUAAAUUAAUCUAAUCCAAAUCAAAUGAGGUAAUUAUGGCAUAGCAAAUGUCAACAUUAUCAUGAUACAUCAAAUAGAAAAAGACAAUAGCACUUAACCCAACUUAAUAAAAUUACGAAAAUUGUAGCUAGGUGAAUUUUGAUUAAGUGAAUGCAGGGAGAGAAAUUCCAUUUGAGUUGAGUGUCAUUUCUAGUAGUGUGUGAAAUCGUAUUAUUUGCAACUUGUAAGUAAGGUGGUUUAUUUCAUCUCCUAACAAGUUAAUUCAAAGAAGUAUUUAUUAAAUUUCACAUUUUUAUUGUUGUUUCAAAUUAGCUCAUAAUUAUGCUGGUAUAGUUUUGGGGUGACUGUCUAUUUUUAUCCAUAUAUAUAAACCUCAAACAUGGGUUCUGAAAUUAGUUCACAUAUUUUUAAGGUCCUAUUAGGCACAUAAAUCUGUAGAAGAGUAAAAGAAGAAAAACUAAACUUAUCCAAAGGUUGGGUAAUUCGUUCGGUAGGUUUAACUUAACUUGGAUUGAAUUUAAACAAAGAUUUUUGUACUAAAUCAACUCACAACUUUUAAAAUUCUAAUUAACUUAAAUAUUUUGGCACUAGUACCGCUAUAAUUGGAUGAAGGAUAUUUGCAAUAUUAUCACAUUAUGUACCUACAAAUAUAUGAUUCUAGUAAGAACGUUAACUUUGUCAACUCCGGGGUGGUUAAGUUAGAAAUAUAUAAUAAUAAAAUCAAUAGAAAUGCCAGCAAAAUGUCAAGCAACCCCAUUUUGAAAGUUUGAAAUUUAAUUUCCAACUAGAUAUUAAUAUCUAGGAUUUGCUUCUUCAAUUACAAGACCAUCACUAGUUUUUCUUUAAGUCACAUAGUUGUAUUUCUUUCCUGAUUCCAGUUCUUGAUUCGGUAUAUCUUUGCUAUAUAUUGUAUAUUUAUGAUAUCGCACCCACUUCUAUAGCUUAUUUCUGCAGUGUUGAUUUUAUAUUCAAAGCCAAUCAAUUCUUGGGCUCCGGUAUGUUUCACUUCAGCCUUUACUAAUAGGGAUUGGUAAUUUGAAGAUAGAAUUCAGAAUGAGUGCACGAUAUUGAAAUUAUUUGAUACAAGUAUUUUUAAUUUUCUUUAAAUAUGUUCAUCUAUAAUUUACAGUAUAGAAAAGAGAUUGCCAUUUUACUUGUGAGUGAAAGGCCUUUUAAUUAUGCUCCUCUAUUAUUGCUUUCAUUUCAUUAAACGUUAGAUGAGAGCUUUUCUUGAUUUACAUGUCUCUAUAGAACCCACAUAUUUAAUAUCUUGUUAAAAAAUUUGUGGAAUCCAUGUAUGCACAGAAAUUUAGACUUGACAAUGCAUUCUUAGUUUCUAAUAUAUUGCAUGUUAUGCAGCAUUCCUGACUGAGAGCUAUGGAUUAUUUUUUGAAUAAGAUUGAUAAACACUUGGACAAUCACAGAAACCUCGAUCAGAAUAUGAAUGAGCUUAAAAGGAAAUUAAAUGAUUUGAACGGUCUGAAGGAAGACAUAGAAUCUAGAGUGAGCUCAGAGCUGCAGCCAACAAAGAAACUCAAGAAAGGGGUCCAAAUAUGGUUGGAAAAUGUUGAAAGAAUCAAUGGUGAAAUACAAAGCCUUGAUGGAAGAAUCGGAGAAAGCAGUGCUCUUACACGCGGUUUCCACGCAGAAGAUGUGUUAAUGAGGAUGAAGGAAGUUGAAGAACAUAUUCAACAAGGCAAAUUUUGUGAAGGUUUGGUGGUUGACAAUCCUCGACGGAUUGGACAAGUUUUAUCGACUUCAACUCUAUCAGGUGAAGCUACGAAGUUAUGCAUCGAAGAAAUUUCGCAGUGCUUGAUGAAUGAUGAGGUUCGAAAAAUUGGAGUUUGGGGGAUGGGGGGAGUAGGGAAAACAAGCAUUAUGAAGCAUAUAAACAAUCAGCUCUUGAAAGAGACCCACAAGUUCGAUGUUGUGAUUUGGAUCACUGUAUCAAAGGAGAUGAGUCUUGCUAAACUGCAGAAAGACCUUGCAAGUAAACUUGAUGUAAAAUUUUCUGGCAAUGAAUGUGAAACAACAAGGGCAGGGAUGUUGUUUGAAACAUUGUCUUUCAAGUUCAGUAGGUUUGUGAUGAUCUUGGACGAUGUAUGGGAGAAGGUUUCCCUUGAGAAGGUAGGAAUCCCUGAGUCAUCUAAUGGUAGUAAAUUAGUGUUAACAACGCGAUCACUUGAUGUGUGUCGACAUGUGGGUUGUAAUAGAGUAAUUCAAAUAAAGCCUCUUGCGGAAGAGGAGGCAUGGAACUUGUUCUUGGAGAUUGUAGGUGGGAAUAUUCUAAAUAUUCCAGGAUUGGAACCAGUUGCAAAAUCAAUAACUAAGCAUUGUGCGGGUUUGCCCUUGGGAGUAAUUGUUGUAGCUGCUUGUAUGAAGGGACUUGAUGACCUUUUUGAAUGGAGGAAUGCGCUAAAGGAACUAAGUUUAGCAAGACAAAGUGUUAAUGGAUUGGAAGAUGAGGUGAUCCAACAAUUGCGAUUUAGUUAUGAUCGUUUAAAGGAUCAAAAACUUCAACACUGUUUCCUCAACUGUGCCUUAUAUCCUGCAGGUUUUGCUAUCAGAGAGAUAGAUCUUGUUCAUCUUUGGAUUGCAGAAGGGCUUGUCGAAGAAAUGAACAGUAGGCAAGCAGAGUAUGACAUGGGUUGUGCAAUAAUGAAUAGACUCAUAAACAACUGUUUGUUAGAAGUUCCUACGGGGACGGAAACAGAAAAUGGAAGAUGUGUAAAGAUGCAUGAUCUUGUAAGGGACAUGGCAUUACAUAUCACAGGUGGAAAACCUCGAUUCUUGAUAAAAGCUGGCAUGAGAUUAACGGAGCCACCAGAUUUGCAAGAUUGGAGAAAGGACCUAGAAAAAGUUUCAUUGAUGGAGAAUUGGGGGUUACAGCUUCCCUAUCCUUUGGAAAUAUCGCCACCAAAGUGUCCGAUGCUCACAACACUAUUGUUUUCUGGUUGUAAUAUACAAAGCAUUCCAGAAGGCUUCUUCAAGCAUAUGCACGGACUCAAGAUUCUUGAUCUUUCUGCAAAUCCUAUCAAGAAUCUCCCAGAUUCCAUUGCUAAUUUGAAGAACCUCACUGCGCUAUUGCUUCGUCAUUGUCGAAGUUUAGAGAAGGUGCCAUCAUUGUCAAAACUUAAAGUCUUGAAGGAGUUGAAUCUUGAAGCAACAAGUAUCAAGGAAAUCCCUUGUGGGAUGAAAAACUUGUGGAAACUCAAUUACCUGAAUUUGAAUGGUAUAGGAGACCUACAUGAGAUUCCUGAUCGAGCAUUAUCAAAACUUUCUUGCCUUCAAGACUUGAUUGUUGGUGAAACAUUGAUAAGUGGAGAAGAUGUUGGUGGAUUGAAGAAACUGGAAAUUCUUAAAGGGAGGUUUUACGACUUACACAACUUAAAUGCGUACGUCCAAGCUUUACAUGGUCGAGAAGAACCUCUUGAAUACAUCAUCCGCGUGGGUGAGAGAGGAUGGGUGGAGCAAAUUAAUACAAGAAAGUACAUUGAGUUAUGUGGUUGUAAUAUCUAUACCAAUCAGAUU
Molecule: long non-coding RNA, 10593 nt
Filed under: Gossypium raimondii (Peruvian cotton)
Lineage: Eukaryota; Viridiplantae; Streptophyta; Magnoliopsida; Malvales; Malvaceae
Description: long non-coding RNA (GRAI_LNC005883)
Source: RNAcentral